Molecule: ribosomal RNA, 253 nt
Filed under: uncultured bacterium
Lineage: Bacteria
Description: partial 16S ribosomal RNA
Rfam family: Bacterial small subunit ribosomal RNA
Source: RNAcentral
UACAGAGGUCUCAAGCGUUGUUCGGAUUUAUUGGGCGUAAAGGGUGCGUAGGCGGCGGAGUAAGUUGGGUGUGAAAUCCCGGGGCUUAACCUCGGAAUUGCAUUCAAUACUGCUUCGCUUGAGUACUGGAGAGGAGGCUGGAAUUUACGGUGUAGCAGUGAAAUGCGUAGAUAUCGUAAGGAAGGCCGGUGGCGAAAGCGAGCCUCUGGACAGUUACUGACGCUGAUGCACGAAGGCCAGGGGAGCAAACGGG